UCAAUAUAUCGAUAUUUAUAGCUUCAUAAGAUCAUUUUCACUCACGAAAAGUCCAUGGAAACCGUAAGGCACACGACGAGGCAAUUUGACAUUAGCCACAAUGUCAAGAUUAGGUGAUGUUGCAUCCAUGACCAAAAAAUUUGAUUCCCCUGUCUUCUCAUUGUGUACGUAUGACACCACGUAGCCAUCGUCUUCAUCAAUCGAAGGAUUUUUAGGCACGAAAAAUGGUUCACCACCAUAGCAAUCUUUUCCAAAUAUACGACAUGCCACGAUGCAAUCGCGACGAUCAAUUUCUGCUACGG
RNAcentral lists this unclassified non-coding RNA (302 nucleotides) under Hevea brasiliensis (rubber tree). Lineage: Eukaryota; Viridiplantae; Streptophyta; Magnoliopsida; Malpighiales; Euphorbiaceae. The record is from RNAcentral.